UGAGUUCUUGGGAGCAUUUCUGUCAGUCAAAGCUCUCCCCUUUAAGCGCACAAGCUGUGCUUCGUGUGACCAAUAUUGCUCGGGAGGGUCUUGUCUUGGGUUCAUAACAGAAGUUAUAUAUAAGAGCAUAUUUGAGAUUUAGUGAGUACGGUCUUUAUUUUACUCGCAUAUUUGAUCUUCAGUGAGCCAGAGUUUAUAAUUUGCUUUUCUUUUUGUUCAUCAUUGUCCUGUAAAUAGCAAGAAACAUUGAGAUGUCUGAAUUGCGGUUAAACAUGUAGU
Molecule: unclassified non-coding RNA, 279 nt
Filed under: Hevea brasiliensis (rubber tree)
Lineage: Eukaryota; Viridiplantae; Streptophyta; Magnoliopsida; Malpighiales; Euphorbiaceae
Source: RNAcentral